UCUAAUCAAACCAUGCAUCCACCACCUACAACCGAUCCUUACCAACUCCUCAAAAUCCAACACCAUCCCAAUGAUACACUUACUCGAUAUUUUGAAGAUCCACACACCUCACCUUCAUUAGACACAUCUCUUCCUGUUCUCACCAAAGAUCUUUUCAUCAACCAAUCAAACCAAACAUGGCUUCGGUUAUUCCUACCUAAAAAAGCAACAAAUGUUUCAAACUUAAACAACAAGCUACUACCAAUUAUUGUUUUCUUUCAUGGUAGUGGCUUCAUCGUGCAAAGUGCAGCCUCCACCAACUUCCAUGAUUUAUGUGUUGAUAUGGCGGAUACUGUUGAAGCAGUUGUCGCCUCGGUCGAUUAUCGCC
This 367-nucleotide long non-coding RNA is filed under the name Medicago truncatula (barrel medic). RNAcentral describes it as "long non-coding RNA (MTRU_LNC004275)". Lineage: Eukaryota; Viridiplantae; Streptophyta; Magnoliopsida; Fabales; Fabaceae. The record is from RNAcentral.